GAUGAACGCUGGCGGCGUGCCUAAUACAUGCAAGUCGAGCGAACAGACGAGGAGCUUGCUCCUCUGACGUUAGCGGCGGACGGGUGAGUAACACGUGGAUAACCUACCUAUAAGACUGGGAUAACUUCGGGAAACCGGAGCUAAUACCGGAUAACAUGUUGAACCGCAUGGUUCAACAGUGAAAGACGGUCUUGCUGUCACUUAUAGAUGGAUCCGCGCCGCAUUAGCUAGUUGGUAAGGUAACGGCUUACCAAGGCAACGAUGCGUAGCCGACCUGAGAGGGUGAUCGGCCACACUGGAACUGAGACACGGUCCAGACUCCUACGGGAGGCAGCAGUAGGGAAUCUUCCGCAAUGGGCGAAAGCCUGACGGAGCAACGCCGCGUGAGUGAAGAAGGUCUUCGGAUCGUAAAACUCUGUUAUUAGGGAAGAACAAAUGUGUAAGUAACUAUGCACGUCUUGACGGUACCUAAUCAGAAAGCCACGGCUAACUAGGUG
This 497-nucleotide ribosomal RNA is filed under the name uncultured bacterium. RNAcentral's name for it is "partial 16S ribosomal RNA". It matches the Rfam family "Bacterial small subunit ribosomal RNA", at positions 28 to 507 of the family's 1533-position model. The record is from RNAcentral.